RNAcentral lists this ribosomal RNA (1241 nucleotides) under metagenome. RNAcentral's name for it is "bacterial LSU rRNA". It matches the Rfam family "Bacterial large subunit ribosomal RNA", at positions 1564 to 2814 of the family's 2925-position model. The record is from RNAcentral.
CGAGUCCGAGGAGCUAAGGCUCCAAAGUGAUGCGAGUCGGACUUCCCAGAAAAGCCCGAACCACGUUAAUUUCUAAUUACCUGUACCCGAAACCGACACAGGUGGGUAGGUAGAGUAUACUAAGGGGCGCGAGAUAACUCUCUCUAAGGAACUCGGCAAAAUGACUCCGUAACUUCGGGAGAAGGAGUGCCUUAUUUAUAAGGUUGCAAUAACAAGAUCCAAGCAACUGUUUAUCAAAAACACAGGUCUCCGCUAAGUCGUAAGACGAUGUAUGGGGGCUGACGCCUGCCCAGUGCCAGAAGGUUAAAGAAGUUGGUUAGUGUAUGCGAAGCUGAUGACUGAAGCCCUGGUGAACGGCGGCCGUAACUAUAACGGUCCUAAGGUAGCGAAAUUCCUUGUCGGGUAAGUUCCGACCCGCACGAAAGGCGUAAUGAUUUGGAUACUGUCUCGGAGAGAGGCUCGGUGAAAUAGACUUGUCUGUGAAGAUGCGGACUACCUGCACCAGGACAGAAAGACCCUAUGAAGCUUUACUGUAACUUGAAAUUGGAAUUGGACUUUGCUUGCGCAGUAUAGGUGGGAAGCGUUGAAGAUAUUCUUGCGGGAGUAUUGGAGCUAUCAGUGAGAUACCACUCUUGUAAUGUUAGAUUUCUAACUUUGAACCAUAAUCUGGUCAAAGAACAGUUUCAGGUGGGCAGUUUGACUGGGGCGGUCGCCUCCCAAAUGGUAACGGAGGCGUACAAAGGUUUCCUCUGAACGGAUAGAAAUCGUAUCUAGAGUGUAAAGGCAUAAGGAAGCUUGACUGUGAGACCUACAAGUCGAGCAGGGACGAAAGUCGGUCUUAGUGAUCUGACGGUACUGAGUGGAAAGGCCGUCACUCAACGGAUAAAAGUUACUCUAGGAUAACAGGCUGAUCUCCCCCAAGAGUUCACAUCGACGGGGAGGUUUGGCACCUCGAUGUCGGCUCAUCGCAUCCUGGGGCGGUAGUACGUCCCAAGGGUUGGGCUGUUCGCCCAUAAAAGCGGUACGCGAGCUGGGUUCAGAACGUCGUGAGACAGUUCGGUCCAUAUCCGGUGUAGGCGUUAGAAUAUUGAGAGGAGCCUUCUUUAGUACGAGAGGACCGAGAAGGACACACCGCUGGUGUACCAGUUAUCGUGCCAACGGUAAACGCUGGGUAGCUAUGUGUGGAGUGGAUAACCGCUGAAAGCAUCUAAGUGGGAAGCCCACCUCAAGAUGAGUAUUCU